This 253-nucleotide ribosomal RNA is filed under the name uncultured bacterium. RNAcentral's name for it is "partial 16S ribosomal RNA". It matches the Rfam family "Bacterial small subunit ribosomal RNA", at positions 524 to 776 of the family's 1533-position model. The record is from RNAcentral.
UACGGAGGGUGCAAGCGUUAUCCGGAUUCACUGGGUUUAAAGGGUGCGUAGGAGGGCAGGUAAGUCAGUGGUGAAAUCUCCGGGCUUAACUCGGAAACUGCCGUUGAUACUAUCUGCCUUGAAUACCGUGGAGGUGAGCGGAAUAUGUCAUGUAGCGGUGAAAUGCUUAGAUAUGACAUAGAACACCAAUUGCGAAGGCAGCUCGCUACACGAAUAUUGACUCUGAGGCACGAAAGCGUGGGGAUCAAACAGG